Molecule: ribosomal RNA, 1332 nt
Filed under: Mycobacterium sp. DWMJ-1144A2
Lineage: Bacteria; Bacillati; Actinomycetota; Actinomycetes; Mycobacteriales; Mycobacteriaceae
Description: bacterial SSU rRNA
Rfam family: Bacterial small subunit ribosomal RNA
Source: RNAcentral
UUCGGGGUACUCGAGUGGCGAACGGGUGAGUAACACGUGGGUGAUCUGCCCUGCACUUUGGSAUAAGCCUGGGAAACUGGGUCAAUAAUACCGAAUAUGACCGCGCACUUCCUGGUGUGUGGUGGAUNAAGCUUUUGCGGUGUGGGAUGGGCCCGCGGCCUAUCAGCUUGUUGGUGGGGUAAUGGCCUACCAAGGCGACGACGGGUAGCCGGCCUGAGAGGGUGACCGGCCACACUGGGACUGAGAUACGGCCCAGACUCCUACGGGAGGCAGCAGUGGGGAAUAUUGCACAAUGGGCGCAAGCCUGAUGCAGCGACGCCGCGUGAGGGAUGACGGCCUUCGGGUUGUAAACCUCUUUCAAUAGGGACGAAGCGCAAGUGACGGUACCUAUAGAAGAAGGACCGGCCAACUACGUGCCAGCAGCCGCGGUAAUACGUAGGGUCCGAGCGUUGUCCGGAAUUACUGGGCGUAAAGAGCUCGUAGGUGGUUUGUCGCGUUGUUCGUGAAAACUCACAGCUUAACUGUGGGCGUGCGGGCGAUACGGGCAGACUAGAGUACUGCAGGGGAGACUGGAAUUCCUGGUGUAGCGGUGGAAUGCGCAGAUAUCAGGAGGAACACCGGUGGCGAAGGCGGGUCUCUGGGCAGUAACUGACGCUGAGGAGCGAAAGCGUGGGGAGCGAACAGGAUUAGAUACCCUGGUAGUCCACGCCGUAAACGGUGGGUACUAGGUGUGGGUUUCCUUCCUUGGGAUCCGUGCCGUAGCUAACGCAUUAAGUACCCCGCCUGGGGAGUACGGCCGCAAGGCUAAAACUCAAAGAAAUUGACGGGGGCCCGCACAAGCGGCGGAGCAUGUGGAUUAAUUCGAUGCAACGCGAAGAACCUUACCUGGGUUUGACAUGCACAGGACGCCAGUAGAGAUAUUGGUUCCCUUGUGGCCUGUGUGCAGGUGGUGCAUGGCUGUCGUCAGCUCGUGUCGUGAGAUGUUGGGUUAAGUCCCGCAACGAGCGCAACCCUUAUCUUAUGUUGCCAGCGCGUAAUGGCGGGGACUCGUGAGAGACUGCCGGGGUCAACUCGGAGGAAGGUGGGGAUGACGUCAAGUCAUCAUGCCCCUUAUGUCCAGGGCUUCACACAUGCUACAAUGGCCGGUACAAAGGGCUGCGAUGCCGUGAGGUGGAGCGAAUCCUUUCAAAGCCGGUCUCAGUUCGGAUCGGGGUCUGCAACUCGACCCCGUGAAGUCGGAGUCGCUAGUAAUCGCAGAUCAGCAACGCUGCGGUGAAUACGUUCCCGGGCCUUGUACACACCGCCCGUCACGUCAUGAAAGUCGGUAACACC